This is a long non-coding RNA of Trifolium pratense (red clover), 422 nucleotides long. RefSeq lists it as uncharacterized. Lineage: Eukaryota; Viridiplantae; Streptophyta; Magnoliopsida; Fabales; Fabaceae. The transcript has 2 exons. The record is from RefSeq and is a predicted model, not a curated record.
UGGAUUUUAUAAAUUAAAAGUGAUAAAAUCAUAUUCUAUUUGAUACAUGCAAAGGUUGGAAAACAUGGCAAAAAUUGUCAAAUUUGUUUAUGUUAUGAUUAUCCUUCUUUCUCUAUUUCUUGUUGCGACAAAUUCUAAACGGAAUAUUCCAUGUGUUUAUGAUGGUGAUUGUCCAAUAAAAUUGUGCCGAUAUCCUUUAAAAGCGAAGUGUCUUGGUGGUAUUUGUCACUGUCGUUAAUUAUGAAGCUCCAUAGAUUAUGAGUGGCAGAUCCAGAAGAAUACAUAAACACACUGCUAGCAUAUUUCAUUAGUUGUUAUGUAGUUAUUGUGAUAGCACCCAAUAAUUUAAUUUUCUUUGUUAGUUUUGUACUUUAGGAUGAUAAAAUUGAAAUGAAAUAAAGCAUCAAAGAAUAUUAUCUUAA